RNAcentral lists this microRNA (22 nucleotides) under Eptesicus fuscus (big brown bat). RNAcentral's name for it is "efu-miR-9234b". Lineage: Eukaryota; Metazoa; Chordata; Mammalia; Chiroptera; Vespertilionidae. The record is from miRBase by way of RNAcentral.
UUCUUCCAGACGGAGGUGCUCG